Molecule: ribosomal RNA, 490 nt
Filed under: uncultured bacterium
Lineage: Bacteria
Description: partial 16S ribosomal RNA
Rfam family: Bacterial small subunit ribosomal RNA
Source: RNAcentral
AGUGAACGCUGGCGGUAGGCCUAACACAUGCAAGUCGAACGGCAGCACAGGAGAGCUUGCCCUCUGGGUGGCGAGUGGCGGACGGGUGAGGAAUACAUCGGAAUCUGCCCAGUCGUGGGGGAUAACGUAGGGAAACUUACGCUAAUACCGCAUACGACCUUCGGGUGAAAGAGGGGGAUCGCAAGACCUCUCGCGAUUGGAUGAGCCGAUGUCGGAUUAGCUAGUUGGCGGGGUAAUGGCCCACCAAGGCGACGAUCCGUAGCUGGUCUGAGAGGAUGAUCAGCCACACGGGAAGUGAGACACGGUCCAGACUCCUACGGGAGGCAGCAGUGGGGAAUAUUGGACAAUGGGGGCAAGCCUGAUCCAGCCAUACCGCGUGGGUGAAGAAGGCGUUCGGGUUGGAAAGCCCUGUUGUUGGGAAAGAAAUCUUUCAGGCUAAUACCCUGGGAGGAUGACGGUACCCAAAGAAUAAGCACCGGCUAACUUCGUG